Molecule: small RNA, 125 nt
Filed under: Marmota monax (woodchuck)
Lineage: Eukaryota; Metazoa; Chordata; Mammalia; Rodentia; Sciuridae
Source: RNAcentral
GCUGGGCACAGUGGCGCAAGCCUGUAAUCCCAGCAUUUUGGGAGGCUGAGGCAGGAGGAUAGAGAGUUCAAAGCCAGCCUCAAUAACAGUAAGGCACUAAGCAACUCAGUGAGACCCUGCUUCUA